Molecule: ribosomal RNA, 489 nt
Filed under: uncultured bacterium
Lineage: Bacteria
Description: partial 16S ribosomal RNA
Rfam family: Bacterial small subunit ribosomal RNA
Source: RNAcentral
GUGAACGCUGGCGGUAGGCCUAACACAUGCAAGUCGAACGGCAGCACAGGAGAGCUUGCUCUCUGGGUGGCGAGUGGCGGACGGGUGAGGAAUACAUCGGAAUCUACCUUUUCGUGGGGGAUAACGUAGGGAAACUUACGCUAAUACCGCAUACGACCUACGGGUGAAAGUGGGGGACCGCAAGGCCUCACGCGAUUAGAUGAGCCGAUGUCCGAUUAGCUAGUUGGCGGGGUAAUGGCCCACCAAGGCGACGAUCGGUAGCUGGUCUGAGAGGAUGAUCAGCCACACUGGAACUGAGACACGGUCCAGACUCCUACGGGAGGCAGCAGUGGGGAAUAUUGGACAAUGGGCGCAAGCCUGAUCCAGCCAUACCGCGUGGGUGAAGAAGGCCUUCGGGUUGUAAAGCCCUUUUGUUGGGAAAGAAAUCCUGUCGAUUAAUACUCGGUGGGGAUGACGGUACCCAAAGAAUAAGCACCGGCUAACUUCGUG